RNAcentral lists this ribosomal RNA (690 nucleotides) under Triticum aestivum (bread wheat). RNAcentral describes it as "partial small subunit ribosomal RNA". Lineage: Eukaryota; Viridiplantae; Streptophyta; Magnoliopsida; Poales; Poaceae. The record is from RNAcentral.
AUGGAGCCGUACGUCGUCGCCCCCUAUCUUCGCGCCUACCUACACCGAUUCGCAGCUUCGGUGUCCGCGGCGAGCUGCGACGCGGGGGAGGUGGGCGGCGAUGUAUGCCGCGACGAGGAGGCCGCGUUGCGGCUCAAAAUGGUCGCCGUCGCGGCCAUCCUUGUCGCGGGGGCCGCCGGCGUCGCCAUCCCGCUCGUUGGCCGUAGGUGGCGUGGCGCGGAUGCAGCCGGUGGUGGCGGGUCGACGUUCGUGCUAGCCAAGGCCUUCGCGGCGGGGGUGAUCCUGGCCACGGGGUUCGUGCACAUGAUGCACGACGCCGAAGAGAAAUUCCAGGACCCUUGCCUCCAGGGCUCGCCGUGGCGGCGGUUCCCUUUCGCGGGCUCCAUCGCCAUGCUCGCCAGCCUCGUGACGCUCGUCGUGGACUUCCUCGGCACCCAGUUUUACGAGUGCAAACAGCGCGAGGCCGCCGCCUUCGCCGCAACGAGCGCCCAAGAUGAGACGGCGGCGUCGCUGCUGGAGGACGGGAGGAAUGCAGGGGGCGAGAAGCGUGAAGGAGGGGUGCACGACGGCCACGGCCAUGGUCACGGGAACGAGGCGGGCCCGUCCCAAGCUCGUCAGGUGGUUGUUUCCCAGGUACGAAGACAGUGGUUACCCAGCAUAAUCGUAAUGAACUCAUAUACGGAGUACUAG